This is an RNA transcript of Nymphaea colorata (pocket water lily), 1453 nucleotides long. It is a transcript of the gene named leucine carboxyl methyltransferase 1 homolog, with no coding region annotated. The record is from RefSeq and is a predicted model, not a curated record. NCBI's taxonomy places the organism in Eukaryota, Viridiplantae, Streptophyta, Magnoliopsida, Nymphaeales, Nymphaeaceae. The transcript has 14 exons.
CGCGACUCCGGAGCGCGGCAUCCGCGUCGUGUACCUGAAAUAUUAACCCGGGAGAAAAGGGUGGGAGCGGGGAGGAUUCGGGUUUCCUCAUCUGGGUUUGGCCAAGGAGAUCAGGACAUGGCGGACAUCGGGGGCAAUACGGCGGCCGUCCAAGCCACCAACGACGAUGCCUCCGCCAGUAAAUUAUCUUGUGUUAAGAAGGGAUACAUGAAAGAUAAUCACAUUCAAUUAUUCGUCCGAAGACCCAUCCGGAGAUCCCCAAUAAUCAAUCGUGGUUACUAUGCACGAUGGGCUGCUCUGAGGAAGCUUAUGUUUCAAUUCUUGAACUCUGGACAUGGUAAAGACGCUGAAAGCCACGCCAAAAAACAGAUUGUCUCUCUUGGAGCUGGCUUCGAUACGACCUUUUUCCAGCUUCGGGAGGAUGGUAAUGCACCUGAUCUAUAUGUGGAGCUGGAUUUUAAGGAGGUAACUAGCAAGAAAGCUGCAAUUGUGGAGUCCUCUAAACAACUAAGAGACCACCUUGGGGAAGAGGCAUCUAUUUCACAUGAGAGAGGGGAAAUAUUAAGUGAACAUUACAAGCUUCUUCCUGCUGAUCUCCGGGACAUCAAACAAUUAGAUCCUGUCCUGGAGAAAGCUCAGCUGGAUUGUAGCUUGCCCACAUUCAUCAUUGCAGAAUGUGUUCUAAUUUACUUGGAUCCAGAUGCUACACGUGCUGUAGUUGGUUGGUCUUCAAAGACAUUCUCCAGUUCUAUAUUUUUCCUAUAUGAGCAGAUUCAUCCAGAUGAUGCUUUUGGACACCAAAUGAUCAGAAAUCUCGAGAGCCGGGGAUGCCCUCUUCUAGGUAUUUAUGCAACACCAACUCUAGAAGCAAAGGAAAAGCUUUUUCUUGAUCAAGGGUGGCAGAGAGCUGUUGCUUGGGAUAUGCAGAAGGUCUACAGUAAUUUUAUUGAUGUCCAAGAGAGACGAAGGAUCGAGCGGCUGGAGAUAUUUGACGAAUUUGAAGAGUGGCAUAUGAUGCAGUAUCUGCACUGUGACUUGGGUCCGAGUGCUUACCAGGUUUGAAGGACUCCACACUGGUCUGGAAAUUCCCAAUGAAAUUAAGGCUUCCUAGUGGAGAUCAUGGAGUACCUCGUGCCUGAAAUUAGAGGCUUUGGCAUAGCCUAGGAAGACCCAAAGAACAUUAUUGUGUGGCCUACGCGAUCAACGACGCUGAGGGCAUCUUCGAGGGAUUUGGCUUCACAGGCAAUCAGGAAGCCUAAAAUAUGCUUGGGUUGAUGAGUUGGGAUGAAAAUAACCGGGUUGCUCUCUCUCUUUCUCUCUCUCAUAUUCUCAGUCACGAAAAAUUGCUGCUUGAUUUUGGUUGGGGAUGGUGUUUGGAAGAUUGUUGUUGAUUUUGUAGUGGCUGACGCUUGUGCAAAGUAAGUGUUGGAUGCUUCGAUGAUGUCUUUUUUAA